Molecule: long non-coding RNA, 1344 nt
Filed under: Sus scrofa (pig)
Lineage: Eukaryota; Metazoa; Chordata; Mammalia; Artiodactyla; Suidae
Description: lncRNA (ENSSSCG00055019713.1)
Source: RNAcentral
AUAGGAUUUCCUCUCAGCAAAUGUCUGCUUGCCCCUGUAAAACGUCAGUGACGUUUAGCCACACCCAUCAGGUCAUUUAAUUACUGGCUCUUACGCUCGUGACCGAAGUUAAUGGCACAGGUGUUGUGAAGUACCUUCUUUUGUAAAUAACAACACCCGCAAGGCAGGGAACGUGAGGCCACAGAAAACUGCGGUGAUCGUGACAGCAGCAAUAGCAGUCAAGCCACGGAGCUUCCUCCCCACAGGUCUGUAAUUAGCUUAUGUCACCGAGAGGCCAUAAACAGAAGCUCCUGUACAUCAUACAGGCCAGGAGAUAACAAGGUAAAUAGCCAGUGGUUAAUUCCUCCAUGUAAGAGUGUGGAGUGCGUGGCAAAUAGGUUUGUGACCGUGCUUAGUACCGUCUCUGUACAGAAUGGUUUUUGUUAAGGAUGCGUGAGCUCAGAGUCCAGCUCGCUGUGCCUGUUCCGCGUUGGAAGUGACCCAAAGGCUCACUUACUGGGGAUCUCCUAAGGCCUCCCUUGAAAAUGGUGAGAGUGGCUUGGAGGAAGCCUGGAGGUUGCAGAAAAGCAUGGCAAAUACAUUCUCUUUUGCAAUGGGCUGAAGCCCAUCAUAAUUUGCUUUGGGAAAAAUUUUGAUUUCUCAGAGAGUCUAGUGUAGCCUCAUUCAAGUUUAAAGCAGAGAUCUAAGAUGCAAGCAGAAGAUUCACCCAGCCAGGGAUUGCACAGAGGCCAGAAGUCCAGAGUUAGGGGUGGCCUCCUUGCCUCCCUAAUGUGCAUAGCAAGUCCUGGGCAAUUGUCAUGCACCUCAGCUUGUCCUGGCCUGCUUUGCACUAAAGGCAGGCCACUCCCUCCACAUGGUGCUGGAUUCUCCUCCGUAUUGCUUCCUGUAUCUGGAAUCAGAUGACCACUGGCAGAUGAGUGCAUAGCAAAACAUGGCCUAUAUAAAUGAAGGAAUACUAUUCAGCCUUGAAAAGGAAGGGUGUUCUGGUACAUGCUACAACACUGCUAGACCUUGAAGACAUCGUGCUGAGUGAAAGGAGCCAGACACAAAAGCAUAAAUAUCAUAUGAUUCGCUUACAGGAGGUACCAGAGCAGUCACAUUCGUAGUGACAGAAAUUAGAAUCGAAGUUACAAGGAACUCUGGGGGGAGGGGUAAUGGGGAGCAGGUGCCUAACGGGUACAGAGUUUCUGUUCAGGAUGAUGGCAAAGUUCUGGAGAUGGACGGUGGUGAUGGCUGUGCAACGUGAAUGUGCUUCAUGCUGCUGAAUCCUACACUUAGAAAUGAUUAAAGUGAUACAUUUUAUGUCAUGAAUAUUUUACAAUUUUUUAAAAUGUGGUUCCAAAA